Rhipicephalus microplus (southern cattle tick) is the source of this 524-nucleotide long non-coding RNA. The record is from RefSeq and is a predicted model, not a curated record. Lineage: Eukaryota; Metazoa; Arthropoda; Arachnida; Ixodida; Ixodidae.
GCCUGCCUUGGUCGCUGUAUUGGCCGUACCUUGGCGACUGCGUGCGCUUAAUCCGAUUGCUCUCCGCCUUUCUUGCUCGUAAGUGUGCUGUGUACAGAUAGCGGUCACUUCGGUCGAACAAUGCAUCUGACAGCCAUCCGGAGCGAAAAAAUUUCGACAUGGCGUUGCUGAAACGCGAUCCUCGCUCAAAGUAAACAUCCUGCGCACGUGUGUGGAAACUAAAAUUUGGUGGAAACGCUUGCGCUAACAGUCUUCUUCUCACUACGUGCGGCGAUUGCCCGACCAUUCGAGUGUCUUUUGCUAUUCUGUGCUACGAGUCAACGCAAGCGUCACGACAUUCCAAAGCGGCGUGUCAUCGCCUGAUCGUCGAUUUUGUUCGUGUUGCAAGCGCGACCUAACCGUGCGGAACACCAUGGUGUAGUUAAAUUUCUUCGACAAGGCUUCUUGUGUGCGCGUGUGUGAAUGCGGUUGUAUUCCUGAUAUGAGCAACGUCGAAAGGCAAAGGAACGGUCGAAGAGACCGUC